This 1044-nucleotide ribosomal RNA is filed under the name Geranomyces variabilis. RNAcentral describes it as "eukaryotic LSU rRNA". It matches the Rfam family "Eukaryotic large subunit ribosomal RNA", at positions 22 to 979 of the family's 3401-position model. The record is from RNAcentral. Lineage: Eukaryota; Fungi; Chytridiomycota; Chytridiomycetes; Spizellomycetales; Powellomycetaceae.
GUACCCGCUGAACUUAAGCAUAUCGAUAAGCGGAGGAAAAGAAACUAACAAGGAUUCCCCUAGUAACGGCGAGUGAAGCGGGAAUAGCUCAAAUUUGAAAUCUCAUAGGUUUUACCUGUGCGAAUUGUAGUUUAAAGAAACGUUUUCGGGAGCGGCUUGGGUAUAAGUCCUUUGGAAAGAGGCACCUAAGAGGGUGACAGUCCCGUGCAUGAUCCAAUGUCCGCUUCUAUGUGAUACGUUCUCAAAGAGUCAGGUAGUUUGGGAUUGCUGCCUAAAAUGGGUGGUAAAUACCAUCUAAAGCUAAAUAUUGGCGAGAGACCGAUAGCGAACAAGUACCGUGAGGGAAAGAUGAAAAGAACUUUGAAAAGAGAGUUAAACAGUACGUGAAAUUGCCAAAAGGGAAACGCUUGGAACCAGUAUUGUUUGCAUGUAAUCAAGUACACGUUCCGCAAGGGUCGCGUGUGCUGCACUUGCGUGUAGACAGGCCAACAUCAGUUUGAUUUGAGGUACAAAGCCUGAGAAAGGUAGCUUGGACUUGUCUGAGUGUUAUAGUCUCUGGUCAUGCCUUGGAUUGGACUGAGGACUGCAGCGUUUUUUGGGUUACCCGAUGGCUGCUUGAAACCAACCUUUAGACAGCAUGCUGACUUUGGGCGGGCGUAGGGUACUCACUAGGAUAACCACACCAGCGCUUAGGAUGUCGGCGAAAUGGUUCCAAACGACCCGUCUUGAAACACGGACCAAGGAGUCUAACAUAUAUGCGAGUAUUUGGGUGGCAAACCCUUAUGCGAAAUGAAAGUAAAUUUGGUGCGAUCUUUAAUGCGCAGCAUCGACCGGUCUGGAUUCUUUUGAUAGAUCUGAGUAAGAGCAUACAUGUUGGGACCCGAAAGAUGGUGAACUAUGCCUGAAUAGGGUGAAGCCAGAGGAAACUCUGGUGGAGGCUCGUAGCGAUUCUGACGUGCAAAUCGAUCGUCAAAUUUGGGUAUAGGGGCGAAAGACUAAUCGAACCAUCUAGUAGCUGGUUCCCUCCGAAGUUUCCCUCAGGAU